AUGCUGCUCGAAGUGCUUGACCACGAUCCCGCCGCCCCGGCGCGGUCGUGCCCCCGCCGCUGCAUGUGCGGGCUUCGGGGGGAGGUGGCGAAAAGGGGAAGAGACCCGGCGUCGUCGCCGGGCCCCACCCUCUCCGUGUGGGCGGUUGGGGCCCCAAGGCGGCGGUGCCUCUCCUCCCCUUUGCCCCCUUCCUCCGCUCCGCCUCAGCCCGCGGUCGGGUGUCUUUUAGGUUCUCCGGGUCCGUGCUCGCCGACGCGGCCGAACCGCCUCGUCCCCACCGGUGGGGCGGGGUCGGCGGUGCCGAGGCCCCUGCCCCGGCGGCUCGAGAGGGGUCCCCUCGACGUGUGGGCCAGCGAGGGCCCCGGCGGUCAGGCGCCGGGGUCGGUCCCGCUCGCUCGAGUGAGCGUCUUCCCUCCGAGAUGGGGAAUUGGGGUUGGCGUGACCGGCCGGGUGUGCCUUGGUCGCUCGUCCCGACCGCCCCGAGAGGCCUUUCCGCCCCCAUCCUGUCCCGGGUACCUAGCGCGUUCUGGCGCGGAGGUUUAAAGAUUCGGGGGUUGCCCUCCGCUCUCCAGCGGGGUCGGUUCUGUUUUCCCCCCUUCCCCGUCCGCCCUCUUCCGACGGUCUCGGGCCCCUCCU
This 636-nucleotide long non-coding RNA is filed under the name Monodelphis domestica (gray short-tailed opossum). Its description in RNAcentral is "lncRNA (ENSMODG00000045467.1)". The record is from RNAcentral. Lineage: Eukaryota; Metazoa; Chordata; Mammalia; Didelphimorphia; Didelphidae.